CAACGCAAUACCAGUAUUACAUAGUUAGGCAGCACUUUCUUAAUACACAGUACAUACAAGUAGGUAGCUUGGUCUAUAAUGACCCUAAUCUAAGAAUUUGUUUGCCGGUUUAAUCAUCAAUUUUCAUCACCAAUUGUCGUCACGUGGUCACAAAAGAGCAGUUAUCCGAAAAACAUACCUACUGUUUACAGGUACCGAUGAUCCUUAAAUAAUUGAAGAAGCUCUUGAAUAGUUGAAUGGAAAUCUGUGCUCAAAUAAAGCUGCGGGGUUUUCACGGUGCAAUAUUCAGUGCAUUGGAUAAGCAAUUUACACAGGUAUCAAAUAGUCCCACAUUCGCUCCAUUCUCUCUGGUAAUUUUUAGGGUUCUGUGGAACCUUAAUAAUCAAUUUCCCCAUUUUUCACCAGCUCUCAUAUUUUAGAUUUAUUUUCGGGAAUACUAAAGUCGUGUUUCGAACUCUAAAACGUAAGUAACGUCGCU
This 478-nucleotide long non-coding RNA is filed under the name Olea europaea (common olive). Its description in RNAcentral is "long non-coding RNA (OEUR_LNC013271)". The record is from RNAcentral. Lineage: Eukaryota; Viridiplantae; Streptophyta; Magnoliopsida; Lamiales; Oleaceae.